GCCUCGGUAGCGCAGCAGGCAGCGCGUCAGUCUCAUAAUCAAAAUCAUAGAGCGAUCUGAAGGUCGUGAGUUCGAUCCUCACCUGGGGCA
Non-coding RNA from Potamilus streckersoni, 90 nucleotides. The record is from the annotation of a GenBank genome assembly. Lineage: Eukaryota; Metazoa; Mollusca; Bivalvia; Unionida; Unionidae.